Molecule: microRNA precursor, 120 nt
Filed under: Daucus carota subsp. sativus
Lineage: Eukaryota; Viridiplantae; Streptophyta; Magnoliopsida; Apiales; Apiaceae
Description: sRNA DCAR_mi00047
Rfam family: mir-399 microRNA precursor family
About the family: mir-399 was identified in both Arabidopsis thaliana and Oryza sativa computationally and was later experimentally verified. mir-399 is thought to target mRNAs coding for a phosphatase transporter.
Source: Rfam by way of RNAcentral
ACCUGAAUUACCGGGUAAUACUCUAUUGGCAGUAGAGGCCACCUAGAUUGCUGAUAUCUAGAACAAGAUAUAGGUAGUUAUUUGCUCACUGCCAAGGGAGAUUUGCCCUGCAAUUCAGGG